UACGAGAGGCCCAAACGUUAUUCGGAAUUACUGGGCUUAAAGAGUUCGUAGGCGGCGCAGAAAGUAGGGUGUGAAAGCCCUCGGCUUAACCGAGGAAUUGCGCUCUAAACUACUGUGCUUGAGGAACCUAGAGGUGAGCAGAACUGAUGGUGGAGCGGUGAAAUGCGUUGAUAUCAUCAGGAAUACCGGAGGCGAAGGCGGUUCUCUGGGCCUUACCUGACGCUGAGGAGCGAAAGCGUGGGGAGCAAACAGG
This 253-nucleotide ribosomal RNA is filed under the name uncultured bacterium. RNAcentral's name for it is "partial 16S ribosomal RNA". It matches the Rfam family "Bacterial small subunit ribosomal RNA", at positions 524 to 776 of the family's 1533-position model. The record is from RNAcentral.